This 1421-nucleotide ribosomal RNA is filed under the name uncultured prokaryote. RNAcentral's name for it is "partial 16S ribosomal RNA". It matches the Rfam family "Bacterial small subunit ribosomal RNA". The record is from RNAcentral.
AACGAACGCUGGCGGCGCGCCUAACACAUGCAAGUCGAGCGAUUAAAGCUCCUUCGGGAGUAUAUAAAGCGGCGGACGGGUGAGUAAGGCAUAGACAACCUGCCCUAAAGAGGGGGAUAGCUUGGAGAAAUUCGGGUUAAUACCGCGUAAGCUUUUGAGUGAAUAUCAACCAGUAAAGGCUUCGGCCGCUUUGGGAUGGGUCUAUGUUAGAUUAGAUAGUUGGUGGGGUAACGGCCUACCAAGUCGACGAUCUAUAACUGGUCUGAGAGGAUGAUCAGUCACACUGGAACUGAGACACGGUCCAGACUCCUACGGGAGGCAGCAGUGAGGAAUUUUGCGCAAUGGGCGAAAGCCUGACGCAGCGACGCCGCGUGGAGGACGAAGUCUUUCGAGAUGUAAACUCCUGUCAGUGGGGAUGAUAAUGACAGUACCCACAGAGGAAGCACCGGCUAACUCCGUGCCAGCAGCCGCGGUAAGACGGAGGGUGCAAGCGUUGUUCGGAUUUACUGGGCGUAAAGCGUACGUAGGCGGCGAUGUAAGUCAGUGGUGAAAUCCUGCCGCUUAACGGUAGAAUUGCCAUUGAUACUGCGAAUCUUGAGUAUGGUUGAGGUAGGCGGAAUGUGUUGUGUAGCGGUGAAAUGCAUAGAUAUGACACAGAACGCCAAUUGCGAAGGCAGCUUACUAAGCCAUUAUUGACGCUGAGGGCACGAAAGCGUGGGGAGCGAACAGGAUUAGAUACCCUGGUAGUCCACGCCGUAAACGAUGUUCACUCGCUGUCUGCGAUACACAGUAGGCGGCUAAGCGAAAGCAUUAAGUGAACCACCUGGGGAGUACGAUCGCAAGGUUGAAACUCAAAGGAAUUGACGGGGGCCCGCACAAGCGGAGGAACAUGUGGUUUAAUUCGAUGAUACGCGAGGAACCUUACCUGGGCUUAAAUGUAGAUUGCAUGAUGUAGAAAUAUACUUCCUUCGGGACGCUCUACAAGGUGCUGCAUGGUUGUCGUCAGCUCGUGCCGUGAGGUGUCGGGUUAAGUCCCAUAACGAGCGCAACCCCUAUCGUUAGUUGCCAGCGGGUCAUGCCGGGGACUCUAACGGGACUGCCACCGUAAGGUGAGAGGAAGGUGGGGAUGACGUCAAAUCAGCACGGCCCUUAUGUCCAGGGCUACACACGUGUUACAAUGGCCGAUACAAAGGGCAGCUACCAGGUGACUGGAUGCUAAUCUCUAAAGUCGGUCUCAGUUCGGAUCGAAGUCUGCAACCCGACUUCGUGAAGCUGGAUUCGCUAGUAAUCGCAUAUCAGCCAUGAUGCGGUGAAUACGUUCCCGGGCCUUGUACACACCGCCCGUCAAACCAUGGAAGUUGGGGGGACCUGAAGUCUGUGACCGUAAGGAGCGGCCUAAGGUAAAACCAAUGACUGGGGUU